UAAAAAAAAAAAAAAAAAAAGGGAAAAUUCCCACACCAGCAGCCUCAUGCGGCCAUAAUUGACCAACACUUGAGAGGAGGUGGAAUAGAGACAGCGUUACUGUUGCAUUUCAUUCCUUUUUCUGGUUUAUUGCUUUUCGCGUUUGCGAGGCGCACUCUCCUUCCUUUCUUCCUGCUUGUCACUUCCGUCCACAGAAAUGGAAGAUAGUGCCGUUUAUAACUCCGAUCAGAAGCCCACGAUCAUGGUCACCAACGACGACGGUAUUGACGCA
This 271-nucleotide unclassified non-coding RNA is filed under the name Hevea brasiliensis (rubber tree). The record is from RNAcentral. Lineage: Eukaryota; Viridiplantae; Streptophyta; Magnoliopsida; Malpighiales; Euphorbiaceae.